This 449-nucleotide ribosomal RNA is filed under the name uncultured bacterium. Its description in RNAcentral is "bacterial SSU rRNA". It matches the Rfam family "Bacterial small subunit ribosomal RNA", at positions 355 to 796 of the family's 1533-position model. The record is from RNAcentral.
UGGGGAAUAUUGGACAAUGGGGGCAACCCUGAUCCAGCGAUGCCGCGUGAGUGAAGAAGGCCUUCGGGUCGUAAAGCUCUUUAGGUUGGGAAGAAGUGUGUGGGGUGAAUAGCCUUGCAUAUUGACGGUACCGACAGAAUAAGCACCGGCAAACUCUGUGCCAGCAGCCGCGGUAAUACAGAGGGUGCGAGCGUUAAUCGGAGUUACUGGGCGUAAAGGGCGCGUAGGCGGUGAUAUGAGUGUGAUGUGAAAGCCCCGGGCUCAACCUGGGAAGUGCAUCGCAAACGAUAUGACUAGAGUAGAUGAGAGGGUGGCGGAAUUUCCGGUGUAGCGGUGAAAUGCGUAGAGAUCGGAAGGAACGUCAAUGGCGAAGGCAGCCACCUGGCAUCAUACUGACGCUGAGGCGCGAAAGCGUGGGGAGCGAACAGGAUUAGAUACCCCUGUAGUCC